This 272-nucleotide ribosomal RNA is filed under the name Pseudomonas aeruginosa. Its description in RNAcentral is "partial 16S ribosomal RNA". It matches the Rfam family "Bacterial small subunit ribosomal RNA", at positions 1 to 271 of the family's 1533-position model. RNAcentral also lists the same sequence under 2 other names. Lineage: Bacteria; Pseudomonadati; Pseudomonadota; Gammaproteobacteria; Pseudomonadales; Pseudomonadaceae. The record is from RNAcentral.
AAAUUGAAGAGUUUGAUCAUGGCUCAGAUUGAACGCUGGCGGCAGGCCUAACACAUGCAAGUCGAGCGGUAGCACAGAGAGCUUGCUCUCGGGUGACGAGCGGCGGACGGGUGAGUAAUGUCUGGGAAACUGCCUGAUGGAGGGGGAUAACUACUGGAAACGGUAGCUAAUACCGCAUAAUGUCGCAAGACCAAAGUGGGGGACCUUCGGGCCUCAUGCCAUCAGAUGUGCCCAGAUGGGAUUAGCUAGUAGGUGGGGUAACGGCUCACCUA